This 845-nucleotide ribosomal RNA is filed under the name Nigrograna hydei. Its description in RNAcentral is "Nigrograna sp. JZ-2019a partial large subunit ribosomal RNA". It matches the Rfam family "Eukaryotic large subunit ribosomal RNA", at positions 76 to 937 of the family's 3401-position model. The record is from RNAcentral. Lineage: Eukaryota; Fungi; Ascomycota; Dothideomycetes; Pleosporales; Nigrogranaceae.
UGCCCUAGUAACGGCGAGUGAAGCGGCAACAGCUCAAAUUUGAAAUCUGGCCCUUUCAGGGUCCGAGUUGUAAUUUGUAGAGGGCGCUUUGGUGUUGGCUGCGGUCUAAGUUCCUUGGAACAGGACGUCACAGAGGGUGAGAAUCCCGUACGUGGUCGACAGUCUUCACCGUGUAAAGCCCCUUCGACGAGUCGAGUUGUUUGGGAAUGCAGCUCUAAAUGGGAGGUAAAUUUCUUCUAAAGCUAAAUAUUGGCCAGAGACCGAUAGCGCACAAGUAGAGUGAUCGAAAGAUGAAAAGCACUUUGGAAAGAGAGUCAAAAAGCACGUGAAAUUGUUGAAAGGGAAGCGCUUGCAAUCAGACUUGCCUGUAGUUGCUCAUCUGGACUCUUGUCCGGUGCACUCUUCUGCGGGCAGGCCAGCAUCAGUUCAGGCGGCUGGAUAAAGGCCUCUAUCACGUAUCUUCCUUCGGGAUGACCUUAUAGGGGAGGUGUAAUGCAGCCAGCCUGGAUUGAGGUCCGCGCAUCUGCUAGGAUGCUGGCGUAAUGAUUGUAAGCGGCCCGUCUUGAAACACGGACCAAGGAGUCUAACAUCUAUGCGAGUGUUUGGGUGUCAAGCCCGGACGCGCAAUGAAAGUGAACGGAGGUGGGAACCCUCACGGGUGCACCAUCGACCGAUCCUGAUGUCUUUCGGAUGGAUUUGAGUAAGAGCAUAGCUGUUGGGACCCGAAAGAUGGUGAACUAUGCCUGAAUAGGGUUGAAGCCAGAGGAAACUCUGGUGGAGGCUCGCAGCGGUUCUGACGUGCAAAUCGAUCGUCAAAUUUGGGCAUAGGGGCGAAAGACUAAUCG